This is a long non-coding RNA of Amaranthus tricolor (Joseph's coat), 499 nucleotides long. RefSeq lists it as uncharacterized. Lineage: Eukaryota; Viridiplantae; Streptophyta; Magnoliopsida; Caryophyllales; Amaranthaceae. The record is from RefSeq and is a predicted model, not a curated record. The transcript has 2 exons.
AAUCUGAUUUAUGAGCUUCCUUCUCUUUUCUCUCUCAUAAACCCUAAAAAUAAAAUCCCUAAAAAUUACCUAAUAGGAGCCGGCAGUCCGGCCACCGCCGCCGCCUCUCCCCCGCAUCCAAGUCGACCAGCCCUAGACCUCCAGCAACUGCCACCUACCGUCAGCAGAGAGUCGCCUCCCGCCGGUUAAAUGGAGAAGAAGGAUUAUAAAGUGAUUAAGUUUGAUACCCAGACUCAGAUGUAAAAAGGAUCGAUAGACUACUCAUGUCAACAACAAGGUGGAUGCUCUUUUUAUGGGAGUCCAUUUGCUAAGAACGUGCUCGAUGGGAAAUCAAUUUUAGGAUGGGUGAUUUCUUGGGAAGUUUUGUUGGGUGUGUACGAGUGAGGCUUAAUAGGUUGGCUAUGUAUUAAACAAGAACCAAACUAUAAACACAUGUUUUUAUUUUGAAGUUUCAAAUUCAAUUAAGUAAUGGAAUUGUUUUGUGAUUCUACAUAAUGCA